AUCAAAGGUGAGCCAGUACAGGAUGGACCCGCGUCUGAUUAGCUAGUUGGUAAGGUAACGGCUUACCAAGGCGACGAUCAGUAGCCGACCUGAGAGGGUGAUCGGCCACAUUGGAACUGAGACACGGUCCAAACUCCUACGGGAGGCAGCAGUGGGGAAUAUUGCACAAUGGGCGAAAGCCUGAUGCAGCAACGCCGCGUGAGUGAUGAAGGCCUUCGGGUCGUAAAACUCUGUCCUCAAGGAAGAUAAUGACGGUACUUGAGGAGGAAGCCCCGGCUAACUACGUGCCAGCAGCCGCGGUAAUACGUAGGGGGCUAGCGUUAUCCGGAUUUACUGGGCGUAAAGGGUGCGUAGGCGGUCUUUCAAGUCAGGAGUGAAAGGCUACGGCUCAACCGUAGUAAGCUCUUGAAACUGGGAGACUUGAGUGCAGGAGAGGAGAGUGGAAUUCCUAGUGUAGCGGUGAAAUGCGUAGAUAUUAGGAGGAACACCAGUUGCGAAGGCGGCUCUCUGGACUGUAACUGACGCUGAGGCACGAAAGCGUGGGGAGCAAACAGGAUUAGAUACCCUGGUAGUCCACGCUGUAAACGAUGAGUACUAGGUGUCGGGGGUUACCCCCCUCGGUGCCGCAGCUAACGCAUUAAGUACUCCGCCUGGGAAGUACGCUCGCAAGAGGGAAACUCAAAGGAAUUGACGGGGACCCGCACAAGUAGCGGAGCAUGUGGUUUAAUUCGAAGCAACGCGAAGAACCUUACCUAAGCUUGACAUCCCAAUGACAUCUCCUUAAUCGGAGAGUUCCCUUCGGGGACAUUGGUGACAGGUGGUGCAUGGUUGUCGUCAGCUCGUGUCGUGAGAUGUUGGGUUAAGUCCCGCAACGAGCGCAACCCUUGUCUUUAGUUGCCAUCAUUAAGUUGGGCACUCUAGAGAGACUGCCAGGGAUAACCUGGAGGAAGGUGGGGAUGACGUCAAAACAUCAUGCCCCUUAUGCUUAGGGCUACACACGUGCUACAAUGGGUAGUACAGAGGGUUGC
Molecule: ribosomal RNA, 1028 nt
Filed under: Clostridioides difficile
Lineage: Bacteria; Bacillati; Bacillota; Clostridia; Peptostreptococcales; Peptostreptococcaceae
Description: bacterial SSU rRNA
Rfam family: Bacterial small subunit ribosomal RNA
Source: RNAcentral